GCAAGUCGAGCGAGAAUUUUAUGAACGAAACUUCGGUCUAGUGAUUAAGAGGAAAGCGGCGGACGGGUGAGUAACGCGUAGGCAACCUGCCCCAUACAGAGGGAUAGCCUCGGGAAACCGGGAUUAAAACCUCAUAAUGCUGGGAGUUCACAUGAACACCUAGCCAAAGAUUUAUCGGUAUGGGAUGGGCCUGCGUCUGAUUAGCUAGUUGGUAAGGUAACGGCUUACCAAGGCAACGAUCAGUAGCCGACCUGAGAGGGUAAUC
RNAcentral lists this ribosomal RNA (265 nucleotides) under uncultured bacterium. RNAcentral describes it as "partial 16S ribosomal RNA". It matches the Rfam family "Bacterial small subunit ribosomal RNA", at positions 57 to 305 of the family's 1533-position model. The record is from RNAcentral.